Molecule: long non-coding RNA, 814 nt
Organism: Gopherus evgoodei (Goodes thornscrub tortoise)
Lineage: Eukaryota; Metazoa; Chordata; Testudines; Testudinidae
Exons: 4
Source: RefSeq, a predicted model, not a curated record
UGCCCAGAGGCCCCAGUCAGGCUCUGGUCCCAAUUAUGCUAAAAUGUGGAAGUACAUAAUUUUUCUCUCCGGCUAGCCAGACAGCAGAGCAGAGUCCUCUAAACAAGGGAAAGAACAGAAUAUUGGAAUGCAAAGGUUCUGCAGCAGCUGGGCCUGGAGAACUUGGAAAGUGUGACCCUGGAUGCAGUCAAUGGGAGUGGAAGACAGAACUGUGCAGAGGGAACCGGAAGGCAGGGAACGACUAUUGGGAGGCAGAGUCUGAAGCAAGUCAAGAAGGCAGCAGAGUGAGAACCACCACUGAAGAAAGAUGAAGAGGAAGCACAGUGCAUGCGAAGAAAAUGCUCAGAGCUCUGAAAACGAGCUGACGAAAGAAAAAGGGAUGGCACCGAAGAAGAAACCAACAGAAUCAGGGAGCAAGUGAGAGCAGAGAAAGUGGGAGAGGAAGAAAAACAGAUGGAGAAACCCCACAUGAGAAGGAAACAGCAACCGGUGUCUCCAGGUGUGAGCCUGUAUCAUGGAAAAGUGAUGAUAUUAAUUAACAAUCUCGGUCACAAGGACCAGACAGCCAUUUGAGAUGAGAGAUGUUUGCAUUGGCCUUUCUGCAAUGCAUCUAGCUGGACAAAAACUGCAGAGGAAUGAUGGAGAAACACUUGCAAAGAAUCACAACAAGGAGACAGGAUCAGGUAGGCAGAGGACAAACUUUGCACUGCAGCCAUCUUCCUUGGAUAGAGAGUGAGGAUUGAACAUCGGGAGUCCUUGCAGAGCCCCCAGAGGCCACCGCGCUAUUGUUCAGGGGGAGUCACUAUAGAGCAAU